CCCGUCAUGUUGAAAUUGGUAGACAAACUUGACUCAAAAUCAAGCGCCCACAAGGCGUGCCGGUUCGACUCCGGCUGACGGGACCA
Molecule: transfer RNA, 86 nt
Filed under: Bacilli bacterium
Lineage: Bacteria; Bacillati; Bacillota; Bacilli
Description: tRNA-Leu
Rfam family: tRNA
About the family: Transfer RNA (tRNA) molecules are approximately 80 nucleotides in length.
Source: RNAcentral